Long non-coding RNA from Callithrix jacchus (white-tufted-ear marmoset), 2925 nucleotides. RefSeq lists it as uncharacterized. Lineage: Eukaryota; Metazoa; Chordata; Mammalia; Primates; Cebidae. The record is from RefSeq and is a predicted model, not a curated record.
AGAAGCCCCAGAAGAGGGGGCUCUGAGGCCUAGGGGCCUCUGCUUACCACCCGCCCACUGGAGACCCCAUGUAAGCAAGGUCUAAAGGCACCAUGUUGGGGUGGAGUCACUACUCACUUCAAUGAAAGACAGUCCAGGUUAUAAAGUGGGAAGAGUCAUGAUGCGGUCCAGCAGAGAGGAUGUGGUAUCCAAGAGUCAUAAAGAAUAUGCACAAGUGAACCAGGACUUUAAAACCCAGGACCCCAGGAGAAGAAAAACACCACAUGCAAUGUCUAAUUCAGUGGGUCUGGAGAUAUUGGUGCACUCACAUGAACCUGCAAAAAGAAUGAGCUCCCCACCCCCACUCUGACUGCACCUCUGUGCGCCCAGCCUUCAGCAUGGCAUGAGCAUGUGGGCAUUUUUAAGGCCCACAGGACAUACAAGGGCCAUGUUUGCUUCUCUGCAGGAGCCCAGGUUUCACCAGUUCCAUCAAAAGGGGGAGUCUGAGUGAUGGGUGCUGGAGCUACACAGUGACUCUCCCUACCCACCGUGUUGGCGUCGUGGUUGGCAGAGGGAGCACUGUCCCUGGGCUCAAGUGUUUCAUCCCUGGGCUCAAGUGUUGUCCCACUUUCUUGCUUUGGGUGGUUGUGGGAUCUCUCAGAGCCCUAUCUGAAGUCAGCAAGACGGGAAAACAGCGCUCCCCUUCCAGGUUUCGGUGAGAGUGAGUGAGGUGCUGCAUUCAAACUGGAGCAUGUGAGAUGCUUAUUGAUACUGGGAGAGAGAGAUCAGCAUUUGUACAUUUCCACUCCACCCCACGGUGCAUCCUGAAGCUGCUGCUCACACACUAGGGUCUUCCCUCCCGGGAGUGCCUGGCAGCACUGGGAGACCAGGAGAUCAGGACCCCUGCAGUUUUAUCAGCAUGUAUGACAUGGGGCAUUCCCUCAUUUGUCCUAAACAAAACAACCUGUGAUGGUGAAAAGUCAAGGAGUUCAGAAAACAGUGUUUUGUGAAAUACAAUUCUCAGUGACCUGGGAGCAAUAGCAACCAAAAAUAAAUAAAUAAAUAAGAAAUGUCAUAAAAAUGAAUAGAAUCUACUGAAACCAAAGGGAACAGAAAAGCUUGAACCUCAACACUGUUUCAAAUUGAGUCAUAAAGUGAAUUCCCAAAAUGAACCAAGGGCAGGUGCUCCCAGCCUGGAGCCCCACCCUACACCCUUGAGCCACUCCUCCCUCCCACUGUCUAAGCUUACCAAGAUGGCAGCAUCUAGGCUGUCCAGAGCUCAGUGCCAGGCCCAGACCGCAGCUGGCCAGUUCCCGCCCUUCUCCCCAUCCUCUCCCAAUCACGCUGGUUCCUCCAAGUCUGUGCCGCACUCUCCCACUUCUCUCCCCACUGCAUGGAACACUUUUCCUUCUUCUGACAUCACCUUUCAUCCUUUUACCUGGGAAAGUCCCAGCAACCUUCCGUUCUUCCAGCAUCUGCUUGAAGUCCCCUCUCCUGGAGGGUCUCUGUGAAUGCCUUCCAGCAGCACCUGUCCUGUGGUCACCCCGUCCUGAAGCCCCUUCCAGGCUGCCAACCACCUUAGCUGGGACUGGCCCAUUUGUCCCUGAUGCAUCCCUCAUGCCCAGACCAGUGCCUGGUGCUUCAUAGAUCCUCAGGAAAGCCGUGUUUGGAGAGUGUGUUUGCCAGUCCAGGGCCCUCACUUCUGACAGGAGGAGCCAUGAAGUCACUGGUGGUUCCUUUCAGCUUCUUCUCACUCGGAGUCGGCAGAACACAAGCCCCUGUGUUGCUUUCCAGCAAUCUUAGUGGAAUUCCCCGGAUCUCUUUCUGAACCCACAGAAUGAAGACAACUUAUUAUGAACUUUCUGGAGAGCCCGGCCCCUGCCUUACAUUGUUGUCUGAGCCUCGGCUCUACACCAGUCCCCAAGGCACACGGCAGGGCAGCCCAAUAACCAGCCACCCCUUCUCCUUCCUGGCCUCCCCGUCACCUCUAGGGCAUAACCAAACUGUGGUCGUGUGCCUGGGAGACAUUUAUCAUGGAAUUACAGCUCCGGGACGCAGUCUCCGUGGCUGUGACGUGAUGACUGUGUAUUUCACGCCUCUCAGUUUCCCAGCUGGGAUUCAGAGAUUUAAAGACAUGGGAGAUGUAUUUUUAAAUUUAUGAGAGGGCCAUUGAUUUAAUUAAUUGUGCCCGAAGAGUGCAGUCAGUCACAGUAAGAAUUCUUAAAGGCAAAGAGGACCAGAGCAGGGCGGUCUCAGUGGUUUGGGGCUGAUAAAGCGUGUGUUUCUUCAAUAAAGCCAUCUUGCUAAGGAUCUGGGGGUAGAGAACAUUCUUUAAAGGGCAUGACCAUAGGCAGACGAUGCACUCACAAACAUUUGGGGAAACACCCACCAAAACAGCUCUUCUUUGAGAAACUCUGCGUAACAUGAUCCUUCAAAAAGGACAAAAACCGAUUCAUCUGCGGGAAAGAGCUGCUCCUUUCACUGGUUUAUUCUGUCGUCUGACUGGUGCUGGCUGGGCCAGAGCCCAUUCCCCUGGAUUCUGGGAAUUAAGUUUUCCCCAGCAGCGGCAGGAAAGACAACAUUCUCCCGUCCACUGACCAAGUCCCAGAUUCGUGCACCAAAGACACCUGCAGCCUGCCUGUUCCAACCCGCGAAUUUUACAAAUGGGAAAACUCAGUUCUGGAGGCCUUUCCUGGUGAGAGACAAAGCUAGGGUCAGAAUUCAAGUUUCCCGAUCCCAUUCAGAGCUCUUUCUGCUGAUGGUACUGCCUCUCUUGGCUGGGAGGGCCUUAGCUAGUAGUUUUUUCAAAAUAUACAAUUACUGUCUUUACUUUUAGACUUUAACCCUUGCCCAGGAUGUUUUGAAUGAACUUACGGUAUUUUCUGCCAGAAUUGCAACCUCUUUUUCUUUUUAUGCACUUACAACAUCAUCAGCAUUUCACUUUGA